This is a non-coding RNA of Podarcis lilfordi (Lilford's wall lizard), 6555 nucleotides long. Lineage: Eukaryota; Metazoa; Chordata; Lepidosauria; Squamata; Lacertidae. The record is from the annotation of a GenBank genome assembly.
CCAGAGUCGUCCACGACUGGUCAGGGGUCCCUUUACCUUUAUAUUGAUUAUUGCCUUCAUUUUAUGGGUCUAUGGUCUUUUUAGACAGUAAAAUCCAUGUUAAAUUGCUGUUUUAGGAGGUGUUUUUCAUCAUCAAUUCACUUUUCCAUUACUUUCUAUGGAGAAGUGCACCUCUACCUAUGUACAUUUCUACGUAGUUAUGACCGGACCUCCGGAACAGAUUAUGGUUGUAAGUAGAAGUUCCACUGUAGAUUGCUUUGAUACUUCAUUAGGGUUCCCUGGAACAUGGGCGCUGGCAUCUCCCCCCUGUGCCACUUGGGAAUUAAUUCCAGUUCGAGCUGAGAGCAUUCCAUUCAUCCCUCUCACAGACCAUGCCAUUGCUGCUUUAGGCUUGAUGUGAAGACCAUCACGACUUGCUCUUUUUCUGCGACAUGACUGAAGGAAACAAAGGCUUCCCUGCCGUUGUACCAGUGGAUUCCUUGACAACUUGCAUCACUGGUUCGAACGUGUAUUAAAGAUUAACUAAGGCUGCAAGCAUCCUUGCACCAUUGAAAACAAAGUUAUAAAACGUGCUCUGAGACCUUGUUUUGGAAUGCAAGAGGUGUUUGGUGUCUUGUUUCCUUUGUGUAUACAAGAAUUUGAUACCCCUUUGCUGUGAGUGAGAUAUAUAUUGCGUGUUUGGACACCAGCUCAGCUCUGUGCAAACCCCAACACACCUGGGUUAUGGAAAUCUUAGGCUGUGCACCUUAGCCCACAAACAUGGUAAUUUUCAUUGGCCUCUAUGUGGCUUGCUUCCAAGGAGAUGUGCUGGGGAAGAAUUGUAACUGAGUGCUAGGAAACAUGCGAAAAUUCCAAUGUUCAAUCUCACAUAAAACCCCAGAGCUGCUGGCUGUUAGUGAAGACAAAACUAACUUGGAUUGAUCCAGUGGUCUGAUUCCACAUAAGGCAUCAAUCCUUUGCUGGAGUAGGCACAAACUCCACUGGUCAUCUCUCCUAGCGCUGCUUUAACCGUCUCAAAAGUGCCAAAGAAAUUUCUUCUUUCUACUAUUGCAGUGGAAUUGGCACACACGCCAGCAUGCAAGUAACCAUGGUUUUGUUUUUUAGCAGAUAUGGCCUUUAACGGACAUGGUGCCACGGAGAUUUCUACAUAGGUACCUUGGUUUACGAACUUAAUCCGUUCCAGAAGUCCGUUCUUAAACCAAAGCGUUCUUAAACCAAGGCGUGCUUUCCCAUAGCAGCAGGGGACUCAAUUUCCAAAUGGAACACACUCAACAGGAUAAGCUGGUCUCCAACCGUAAUAAAUUAUCUAUCUAUCUAUCUAUCUAUCAUUCAGCAGGAAGCGAAACAUGUUCUGCUUCCAAGACAAAGUUCACAAACCAAAAUACCUACUUCCGGGUUUGCAGCGUUCUUCAUCCAAGUUGUUCAUAAACUAAGCUGUUCUUAAACCAAAGUACCACUGUACUUAAAGAAAGCACAGUUUUCCAAUUGGAAGCAGUUGCACUUGCUGUUUGUCAUCGCAUCUUGAGAACUGGUCCUCUCGCCCAGCAUUAGGCACAUACAAAGGUGCUUUCCAUCAAGUCAGUGACUCUGCAAGAUUUCAGGAAGUGGUCUCUCUCCCAGCCCUACCCAGAGAUGACGGGGAUUGAACCUGAGACCUUCUGCUUGCAAGGCAGAAACUCCAGGCAGUCCUGGACUAGACAGAUCUCUCAUUUGAUUCCCUAUAUGGCAGCUUCCACCAUGUGCAUUAUUAAUUUCAUUUUUGGCAAAAUGCACCUGCUGCUCAACCGACAAAAUACCUCCAGGCCCUUUGCAUAAAAUGCUGUGAAACAGAUAUUUAAAACAGCAGCGAAGGUGGACUUUAAAAACAAAUAAAAUUGUAAAAAUAAAAUUUCAAAACGAAGAUAAAAUGAUUAGAUUUUUUUAAAUGUCCAUACAUAAUGUUUAGAUUGCUUAAACAACAACAAGUUUUUGGCAGGCAUCGAACAGAACAGAGAAGGCAGCUGCCUAAUAUUAACAUAUUGAUACUAAUAAGGUAAUAUAAUUGUAAACAUGAUGGGAGAGGGAAGAGAGAGCUCUGAGGAGCAGAUGGUUCCCUGGUUUUUACUUCCUUUUGCCAAACCUGUACUGGCAGGAGAGUUGACACGUGGCCAUUGUGUGUUGAUUUAUCUGCAGUGCUUUCUUAAAAUGCUCUUCCACGUGGCUUCUGUAACUCUUUCAAGUACUGUUCCAUUGAUGAUCACUUCCAUUCAUUCCCUUGUAUCUCAGAUUACUUGCAGGACUUUGGAAUCAAUUCUGGAACUGGCGCUUGGAUGGCUUCUUUUGCCGCAUCCUCUCCUUGCUCACGCAGUCACAACCCCUACGAAGAGAUGUCAUAAUACAUGUCUGAUUUCACACCGGCAGAGGUCAUGCUUUGGUUUAGUGGCGGGGUGAGGUUGACUAAGGUUUGCCUCGCAUCUGACACCUUGCUCUGUCCGCAUUCUUUGUGUGUUUUGAAUUAUGUUGGUGGCUCAGGCGCAAAUCAGCGGAUCGGAUUAACAUUUUCUGUGCGCUGGUGUAACACCAGGCCCUGUGAUCUUUCCCUGCUUUCCAGCAGCGAGGUCACAGAUGGGGCAGUGCCCCAUAUAAUCCGACAUCCUGUUCUUGCAAGCAGGACCUUAGCCUUCUCCAGUCCUACAAUCUCUCAGUGUCUGAUAGCUAGAUAGGUUUCUUGUAGAGUGGUACUUUGGUUCUCAAACUUAAUCCGUUCCGGAAGUCCGUUCCAAAACCAAAGCGUUCCAAAACCAAGGCGUGCCUUCCCAUAGCAAGUAAUGCAACAAAAUGGAUUAAUCCGUUCCAGACUUCUAAAAACAACCGUUAAAACAGCAAUUUAAAACUAAUUUUGCUGUCUAACGAGACCAUUGAUCCAUAAAAUGAAAGCUAUAAAGAGUGUACUGCAGUCACACAAUCAAUCAGUCAGUAGCUGAACUGGGUUCUUCCACACAGUCGCGAAAACAAAAAGAGAGAGCUGCAAAAACAGACAGACCUCAGCGUAACAUUCAAAACGGAAGUGCGGCACUCAAAACGGAAGCACAACACUCAAAACGGAGCACAUUCAGCUUCCAAAAAAAGUUCGCAAACCGGAACACUUAGUUCCGGGUUUGCAGUGUUUGGGUUCCAAGUUGUUUGAGUACCAAGGCGUUUGAGAACCAAGGUACCACUGUAUUGUUAGACAUUGGUGACUUGUGGCUGCUAGGAGUCACAAAGACCCCGCCUGCUUGUGCGCAGACCUUAGGGAAAGUUUGUGAGCACUGGCAACAAACUGUUGUCUCGCAGCUUAAGGGUGGCGCCUUUCAGAUCGUUCAGACUGCGGCUCCCACCAUCCUUUACCACUGGCCAUGCUGACUGGGGCCGUUGGGAGUUUGGAGACCAACAAUGUUUAAGGGUGUUAUGGGAAUCUCUGUUGUUUUUCCUGUAGUGGAGUAACAUGGCUGCCCAUGUGGAAAUUAGGGUCCCCGAUGGAAGGAGGUGGAUGUUUCCUGUUGCGUUUGUGCAAAUGGUGUCGCCUUAGUAGGUAAGCACUGUACGUUUACCUGCUUUUCACUGCUCAGCUUGUUGUUGACAUCCGUCUGUCUCGGGAGACAAUGGAGGAGUGCGCCUUUGGAGGUGAAUAUAUAUAUAUAGAGAGAGAGAGAGAGAUUCCCCCCCCCAAAAAAAAACAGGAAGAAAAAUCAUAACCAAAUUAAACCAUAAAUUUUGGUUGACUUCCAUCCACUACCCCUCUUGGUUCCAUUAUAAUAUACCAUAUUUUUCGCUCUAUAGGACACACUUUUUCACUCCUAAAAAGUAAGGGGAAAUGUGUGUGCAUCUUAUGGAGCGAAUGCAGGCUGCGCAGCUAUCGCUGAAGCCAGAACAGCAAGAGGCAUCAUUGCGCAGCAAGAGGGAUUGCUGUUCUGGCUUCUGGGAUUCAGAAUAUUUUUUCCUUUUUUCCUCCUCCAAAAACUAGGUGCGUCUUAUGGUCGGGUACGUCUUAUUGAGCGAAAAAUACGGUGCUUGUUUAUGCACAUCCAUAAAACCUUAUACAGUUAACAAUCCAAUUUUAAAACCUUCUUCAUCUUGGCUGGUCUUGGCCUGGAAUCCAAUCUCUCAUAUCGGAACAAAGUCUUUCGUUAAAACCAUCCAUCAAGUCCUGUAUAUCUCAAUAUAAUAACUUCAGGGGUUUUUUAACAACAAUCAUUUCCCACAAUUUCUUCAAAUCUUAAUAUGUUUUUUACCUUUGGGGAUGAAGUCAAGUGGUUGGAACUUGCAGCGCCUGCUGUGGCUGCGGAGACCGAGAGACAUGUUUUGUUGCAGCUGGGGCAGAAGAAGGCAUCCGGUUAUGCUGCUGCAGAUGCGCCGUGAUGUUUCUUCUCUCUAUGCUCCUCCGAGUGCUUGUUCCUCUUCUGGUCACUGCUGUGCGUGGAUGACCUGACGAUCUGCCUCCAGGCAUGGCGGUCGUCUGCAAGGGGUUGACGUUGCCAGACUUCAUGUCACAUUUGCAGGCAUCUUUGUAACGCAGAGUUGGUGCCUGAAACCAGCUCCCCAUAAAACAUAUCUUUGGGAAUCCUGACGUCUUGCAUUCUGUGUGCAUGACCAAGCCAGCAUAGAUGUCGCUGAGAUGGGAAUGCAGACGUGCUGGGAAUGCGAGUUUGGGAGAGCAUGACUCAGUUUGAGACGCUGUCCUGCCAUGUGCAAGUGGAAAUAAACACAUACAGUCAAACCUUGGUUCCCAAACCCUUCCGUUUUGGAACAUUUUGAAUGCCAAAAACCCGUAAGCAAGUGUUCCUGUUUUUGAACAUUUUUCGGAAGCCGAACCUCCAACGCGGCUUCCGUUUGAGGACAGGAAGCUCCUGCAGCCAAUCGGAAGCCGUGCCUCGGUUGUUGAACAUUUCGGACACUGAACGGGCUUCCGGAACAGAUUAUGUUUGACAACCGCGGUUUGACUGCAUCCUGAAAACACCAUUUCUCUCCAGUAUUCUUUCCUCAGUGGGAAAUGGACUCAGCUUACGUACAAAGCUAUCCUUGCAACUUCCUCGUGAUAGGAGGAGUGUGAAAUGCAGGGAUCAAAAACCGCCUCAUUGCCGGUCCUUUCAAAUGGAAAUCCUUUUGCUGGAGGAGUUUUCCAGGUGUGCUUCCAGCUGUUCCUUGUCCUCAGCAUCUGCGGAUCCCGUGCGAAAGGUACGUGUUGGAAGGGAAGUGGCGCAUUGAUUCAUGCAGUCCAUUGAUCCGCUUUCCACUGUCGGCGAAGUAUUGACAGCAGUAAAUGGAAAUUGUAUCCUGUUGGGGAUAUAUUAAAUGCAGGCACAUCAUAAAAUUCACACAAAUGAACCAGCUCGACUUUAUCUCUCUUCUUUGUUGACAAAAAGAUUCUGCGGCAGGUGCUGUUAUUAUAAAAGCUAUACUGUUGUAUAUAAAAGUUAACCCUUUCCCUUUAGCGGCACAGAGGAAGGAGAGCGUGGUUUAUAGAAAAUCGGCUACUUGGCAGAUCGUGCACAAAAAUCUUGAAAAAGAUAUUGGAAGGCAAUGAUGGCAUAAACCUCAGGGGAGAGGGGUUUUUUAUUUUAAAAAUGUUAUUUUAUUGAGUUUUGAACAAUCUAAACGGUACAAUAAAGAGUAACAGUGUCAGCAAAGCAAUUGCAGAUCUCUUGCAAUUUGUUCCGUAAACUAAGACACGCACCAAGAAGACAGAAACAAGGAGCGGAAACAAAGAUGGACUCAGAUUAGUUCAUCCAAUCUCCCUGCAUGUAAGGUUGGGGCUUUGCAAGCUACAGAUGAGGCACUGAUAAAUAGAAACCAUGCACUUAAAAACAUAUCUGGUUUAGCCUGGCCGUUGGCUAAUCUGAAAGGUUCGUUUUUCUAAUUACAUAAUGCCUUAAGGCCCUAGUUCUCAGACUUUUCAGUCUUGGCCUUUAGCCUUGGCCACACUUUCAGAAUCAAAAUGUGCUUGCACCACAUCAAAGUUUUUAUGGAUAAGAAAUGCGUCGGAAAACAAAAAGAAGCAACUCCUAGCCGUGCUUGAUUUCUAACAGGGAACUGCUUUAUGAUAUGAUCAUGGGACAGCCCUGAAGGCAGUCCUGUUUAGGGAAGUUUCUAAUGACUGAUGUUUUAAUGUAUUUUUAAUCUUUUCUUGGAAGUCGCCCAGAGUGGCUGGGGAAACCCAGCCGGAUGGGCGGGCUAUAAAUAAUAAAUUAUUAUUAUUAUUACUUAUUAAGGGACAUCCAGAAAGUACAAAACAACACAGCUAAAAAAAGAACAUGAAUCAUUCCCAAAAUAUAAUUAUAAAUAAGCCUCUUGCAUACAUACCUUAGGUAUGUAUAGAAAACACAGUGAGAGGUGUGAGCUUGCUUUUGCCAGGUAACCUCUGUAUUGGGUCUAAUUAGAUCAAUAUAGGACAAAUUAGACUUAGGCUAGGUCUAAUUUGAGACCUGCACAUUUCUGAUCUUUCAUGUUUGUCAGAGUUGAAAAUCCCUUUUCUCAAUUUCCUUGGUAUUCUUUGAUGGUCUUGCUCUCAUUUUGAAAAGGUAUCUACCCAUAUUCUGC